This 1244-nucleotide long non-coding RNA is filed under the name Capra hircus (goat). RNAcentral describes it as "lncRNA (ENSCHIG00010005065.1)". The record is from RNAcentral. Lineage: Eukaryota; Metazoa; Chordata; Mammalia; Artiodactyla; Bovidae.
AUGCGUUUACUUCUUUAUAUCAGAAUCCUGACUUCAUAUGUACCUUCUGCUCAGUGUUCUCCCAAAAGACAGUCAGCUCCAGAAGAGACUCAGAAAGAAACUUUCUUUAGCUCCCCCUCAAGAACUGAUUCCCAGAACAAAGAGGCGGCUCUGCUUUGGGGUUGGGGUUAUGGUGCCCCUUAUUUGAACUUCUUAGCACAUAUUCCCGCAGGUGUUCAGAAAGUAUCGUUCUCUUUAGAAACAGCUUAGGGUGGGCACUUGCAUCCUUCUGUAUCUUAUAAAUGUGUGACAGGAGUGUCUGGCAGAAAUAAAAGGAAAAAAACCCAGCUGCAUCUGGCUCAUUACAUUGGGAGCCAUCGUCUCAUGGCUCUGAAUCCUACACUUCUUUCCUUCUAGAGAGCUGAAGUCUGCCUUCCUAUAGAAUAUGGUCCUCUGAGGCAUCAGCUAAGUCUGUGUGUUUCCUGGUCCACAUGGAAGUCCUUACAGCUGGGGAGGAGGUUCCACGCUGGCAGGCUCUUCUCCAGAACAAACGCUGUCAGCAUCUUCAACUGACCUGCCAAUGGUUAGUCUGCAGACCUUUCACCAUCCUGGUCACUCUCGCAGGGGACGGCCAGCAGGGUGUCUUACUUUGAUUGCUCAAUGCUCUUCAUGCCACAUGAUCCUCAGAAUUAAAUGCAAAAUUCCGGAUGUGGUCUGAGCAGCACAGAGAAGGGGAUUCUUUAUUUCAUCGUCACAGCUCUCUAGUUAAUGAGCAAAUGUACCUUUUCAUAAAAAAGGCACAUGACACGGGAAUAUAGCCAGCAUUUUAUAAAAACUAAAUGGAAAAUAACCUUUAAAAGUUGUGCAAAAUUUUAAGUCCAAACUAGAGGGUGAAAAAAGGCACACGACAGAAUACAAAUAUUUUCAACUUAACACUUAAAUUCUGCGUGGUGAUAAAACGGUGCCUUUUACUUGAGCAGCAUCUGUAACCUAAUUUCUGAUCUUUCUCUUCAAUGAACAGCCUUAGCGUAACACAGAAUAUUUGUCCUAAAACCAUCUUUUAACACAGAUUACAAGAUCAAAGGAUUGUUAGAUAUAGUAAGUAUAGAUCAUCUAAUGUACAGAUGCUUAUUAGCUUCAAAAAAUGUGAGUUCCACAUUAACCAUAAAGCUCCUGGCCAACUCUGCUAGGUUACAAAGAAAUGUCACUGCGUAAGCUGCUACUGCUAAGUCACUUCAGUCGUGUCCGACUCUGUGUGACCCCAC